Molecule: long non-coding RNA, 1406 nt
Filed under: Homo sapiens (human)
Lineage: Eukaryota; Metazoa; Chordata; Mammalia; Primates; Hominidae
Description: long intergenic non-protein coding RNA 2395
Source: RNAcentral
GGGGGAGGGGCUGCUGAGGAAGGCCACAGGGGCUAAGGAGGAUUUCCUCAGAGCUUUUGGGAAGCUAUACGUUCCUGGCCCCGAGGUAAAGCUCCCACAGGCUGCUUGACCCAACAGAGCAGCUCCUACCCACUGGGAUUCUCGGUCUGCAGGAAUCUGGCAUCCACCUGGGGAGCAUCUGGCUGAGGCAGCCUGGAGACAGGCACGCACCAGAAGACUUCUGGUUCCAUCCAGGCCCAAGGACCACUGAACUGGAGCGGUCUUCUCCAUCCCCCAGCAAGCCUGUGCGUGAGCUGGGGACAAGGGGCAGAGGAGGCAGAGGUCCCCCUCACACCAGGAAGGGAACAGCGCCACUAAAGGGCCUGGUGGAGGCAGGGUGGAGGUGGAAGGAGACUCAGCAGAAGGGAUGAGGAAACUGAGGCUGAGAGGGUAGAGAACUUUGCCUGAGGUCACUCAGCAGGGACCCACCCAUCACAGUAAAUGCCAGCACUGCUGAUGCCAAAACAAUGUUAUUUGUGCCUGAACACCCUGUCCUACCUGGUCCUACCUGGAUGCUGGCCUCAGUAAGCUCCUGGGCUCAUUGAAGAUGAACCUAGCAGUAGUAUUUACACCACUUGUUGUGUGCCCACUGUGGGCCCGGCGCCAUGCCGAGUGCUCUAUGGAUGUGAGAGAAACGGAGGCCCAGAAAGCAGAAAUGAUGUGUUAAGAUCACUCAUCAAGCUGAUGGUACAGAGAUGAGAACACUGAAGCAGUUUUUUCUAAAGAUAGCUGCCUGGCACAGUGGCUCACAUCUGUAGUCCCAGCAUUUGGGGAGGCCAAGGCAGGUGGAUCACUUGAGGCCAGGAAUUCAAGACCAGCAUGGCCAACAUGUGCUGGGAGAGAAAAGCAUACGACAUAGACAGGGAGGUCAAGCUCCACCACGCAGAUGAGGUGCAGGCCACCAGUCUUCCUCUGCCACAUCUCUUUCUGAAAAGGACUUCACAUUCACCCUUGCAAUCCAUGUGGGGACACUGUUGGAUAGGAGGCGUGGUCCCAGCGUGGUCUCCCUGUCUGGGCCUCUGCCUAUGCCAAAUGUUUGCCUUACGCUGCACACUCAAGAGGUUCCAUGUAUACAGAUGGGAAUUCCAGAGCUACAGAAAAGGCAGCAAGCACCAUGAUUUAAGCUAACCAGUGUGGAUUCACACCUUCCUCUCUCUCUAUCAGUGGCAGAACUACCAGCUAGAGUAAGAAGUGGUUGAUCCAGGACCUAAACAUUCUGGAAACUCUUGCCCACUUCUGGGAGAAAUGACCCAAUCCAUAGUACUAAGCACACCUUAACUUUCGUAGGACGCAGGCAAGUUGUCAUACCGUGUGCCUAAAUAUAGAAAAAUGAUCCACUGGACUAAUAAAGUGUUAAAUAAAAUAUG